Molecule: unclassified non-coding RNA, 232 nt
Filed under: Moritella viscosa
Lineage: Bacteria; Pseudomonadati; Pseudomonadota; Gammaproteobacteria; Alteromonadales; Moritellaceae
Description: putative sRNA
Rfam family: Histidine operon leader (bases 111-227)
About the family: At least 6 amino acid operons are known to be regulated by attenuation. In each a leader sequence of 150-200 bp is found upstream of the first gene in the operon.
Source: RNAcentral
AAAAAGCAUUGCAAUUUUAUCCUAGAUUGUUAUUGUGAACUCAACCACACUUAUUAGUAACAAUAUACUAACUGGAAAAACAUUAUGAAUAACAACCUGAAAGUAAACGUGCAUCAUCAUCAUAUUUGAUUAGCUUUCAGGCUGUUGACUGGAGGUGUAUGCAUGCAAACUUCCGGAACUCAUUUAGAAAAACCCUCGGAAGAUUGAACUUCCGGGGGUUUUUUCGUUUAUA